Molecule: long non-coding RNA, 566 nt
Organism: Camelus dromedarius (Arabian camel)
Lineage: Eukaryota; Metazoa; Chordata; Mammalia; Artiodactyla; Camelidae
Exons: 3
Source: RefSeq, a predicted model, not a curated record
CCCGGGACCAUGGCGGUGCUUGCUGCUGGGGCUGGCGGCUUGCUCGGCCGGGCGACUAGUUCUGGCCUGGUCAGUCGGCGGCCGACAUCCUGUCUGGGGCGGCGUACCACAGACGGUACCUUCUGUGUGACGUCAACCCUCCAGAGGGCUUCAGCCUCCGUAGGGGCGUCUGUAUCCACAUCACCUUCUUCCUGAAGACCCUGCUGAAAAUGGUGGAGUUGGUGCUGGUGCUACCCCCUUGGGGUCGCCUCUACCAUUGGCAGAGCCUGGACAUCCACCAGGUCCUGAUUCCCUGGUCUGACUUUUUUGAUCUCUCAAGUCUCAACAGAAACAUCCCUGACACUGAGUACAAACAGUUCAUUGCAGGGUUCACUUGGUGAGAAUAAUAGUAACCAAAGAAACAGCAAACCCUUACAGAACUCUGUCCUGCUGUUCCAGGAACGCUGUGUUCACGACAAACAAUGAGUUGGCACCACUAUGAGUUCCACUUUAAAGGUAAGGACAUUCAUUAAUCACACGGCUAAUAAAUGGCAGAGCUGGGACUUGAACCCAAGCUCUCUGGCCCC